Non-coding RNA from Schizosaccharomyces pombe (fission yeast), 1098 nucleotides. Lineage: Eukaryota; Fungi; Ascomycota; Schizosaccharomycetes; Schizosaccharomycetales; Schizosaccharomycetaceae. The record is from the annotation of a GenBank genome assembly.
UAUCGCACUUUUGGAAUUUGAUUUUGUAAAUGCAAAAAAAUAAAUAUAAGUAAAGCCCGUAACUGGGACCAUGAUCUGUUAUUAUAUAAAGAUCCAUAGGUUGUCUUAUCAUUACUGAACGUAAAGUCUCAGACUUGUCAUUUGCGUAUGUAGUUGGGGUGACCAGCAACUCCUGGGUGUUGAUUAUUCUUUUUUUAUGAAUCCACUCCAUAUAAAAAUUUCUGUUAGUUUCAUAAGCAAUCAUUGUCAUGUCGACGCGCCAAACUUUGCAAGCGGUAUCAAUAAAUCCAUACUGCGUGAACAAUUCAUCAGCGGCAAAGUUUCCGAAGGAGUUGAAUAUUUCGGACAUCUUUCGUAUAUACUGAAAAGAAAUAAAUUCUAUUUUGAUAUCGCCUUUAUGAUCAUUUGACUCCUGACAAUGUAGCGAAGCAAUAGCUGGACCAGACUUGUGAUUAAAAAUAUCGAAAAAGGGUAUUAAAGAUAAACCGUAGUAGCUGUUAACGUAAAAACACCUGCUUUGGACGAGAACACAAGUCUCUAAAUACUGAUUCCAUUUUGGACAAAGCUGUUUGAGAUCAGCAUGUUUAUAAAAGUAAGGGCGGACCAAUUGAUCAUAUUGAUUUUUGUAUACUCUUAAAUUUGUAUUUAUUACAUCAAGCAUUGAGGUUCCCUCAAGACACGUUUUAUCUUUCCAUAAUAAUGGGGAAUCAGGCAUACAAGUUUCGUCCAAGGUGUUUAAAUAAGCGUUCCACGGACUAUCUGUUAUAUUUUCCAAUAUUACAGUUAUAACGAGCAUGACCAGCCCAACCUGAUCUCUAUUGUCAAAGUUAAUAUCAUCAGACCGAUUAGAUUCAUUAAAAUGUGUAUACAACGAAUCUCCAAAUCUUGAGUUGCGAGGACUCAGAAUGAUCCUUCUAGGAAUCUUUGCUAAAACUUCAAGUUCAUCUAUAUCAAAGGUAGAAAAUAUACCAUCUCCUGCGACCCCACUUGAAGCGAUAUACAGUUUGGGUGAAAUGUAAGCUUCGUGUUUUGCUAGCCAUUCAAGUAAGGGUUGGUACUUCAAAAAUUGCUUGGAAUUGUUCAUGCUUUAUUUAACAU